UUAAAAACGGUUGAAAUCUUUCCAUGAAAGGAGCAUAUGCUAUAUCCACCUGAAAUUAAUAGAAAACUUUGACAAGUUCAAUUUAAUUGUGAAAACGCACAAGAAGAGUAUACUAUGCAUUGCCAUUGCUACAAAUCAAUAUAAGUAUACUCACCAGACUGAAUUGGCCAAGGAAGAAAGGUCCGUGAUCAUAUUUGGAGAGAACAGUCUCAAGGUAAUCAAAUGCAGUGCCUAAUGAAGCAGUGUAAGGAGGGGGAACAUUGUAAACUGAGCAUAAGCUGAAAACUGUUUAUGACACUAAACCAAUAUAUGGAGGAGCUUAUAAUAAAAGAAUGAAGAAUAACCUUAGUGUUACGGGUAAUCCAUACACGCUGGGCAUAGGGGCAUUUGUAGGAGAUAUACAACCUUCAGUUCACCCACAGUCACAGACACAAAGAAUACAUAAAUAUAUCAUUUAAUUUGUGUUAGUUUGUUUGGUGAAAAAGAAGAUAAGAAAGUAAGAAACCUGGUAGUUCCAUCAAAUAAGGAAGGUGGAGGUGAAGUGGAAGUAAGGGGUGGUGGAAGAACUUGUUGCACACUUCAGUUCACAAUAUAAAAACAAGUUUAGUUAGAAAGAAGCAUAAUUAGUUAACUGAGCUCAGCUUAGCCUCAGCAGGCAAGCAGACAUACCCGGUUGAUAUGGCUAAUGUUGUCACGCGAACAUCGCAUGAUUUUGUAACAGAAUUAAACCGCUGCCGGAGGUGAAGCUUAUUAUGAGGUGAAUAAUGGAAAUGGAUGGAAGUUGUGGACAUGAAAGGAAGAGAAGAAGUAACCAAAAUCUGUGGCCUUGCUGAGACUGAGAACAAGCUGCUAUUAUUAUUGGUUACCAAUGAUGAUGAUGAUGAUGAUAUAGCCAUAAUUCCAAAAUGAUGACAAUGAAUAUUCAUCACUCUAUGUUGAUGCAGCUUAACUCUUCCUCACAUCCUAUUUUAUAACGAACGUGUGGCCAUGGCACUGUCUCUA
This 1002-nucleotide long non-coding RNA is filed under the name Medicago truncatula (barrel medic). RNAcentral's name for it is "lncRNA gene6959". The record is from RNAcentral. Lineage: Eukaryota; Viridiplantae; Streptophyta; Magnoliopsida; Fabales; Fabaceae.